CACAUUACCAGCCAAUUUUUGAAACCUACCCCCAAAUUUCUUCCGAUCUCCACGCCUCCACCGCCACCGCCACCGCCGGUGGUUGUAGCAGCCGCCGCCACACCCCCACUACGAAUCUCUCUCUUCUGCGACACUUUCUCCUUCUUUCUCCAUUUUUCUGUGUUUGUAGGGGAAAUCGGGAUGGAAGGAGUGUGCAGAUGUUGGAUCAGUGGGUGUUUAGGGUUUUCCUAAGAAAGAAUGAAGAAGGAAGAGCAGGGGCGGAAGGUGGUGGUGGGGGCUGCGGAAGGCGGUGGUUGGUCGGCGGUUACGGUGGUGGUCGGCGGUUACGGUGGCGGUUGGUAUUUUGGCGGUUACGAUGGUAGGGCAGGUGGUUGAUGGGGAGACGGCGCCGGAAGAUACAUAUAUGGAACAGAUCUUCAAGUUUAGAUCUGAAUCAAGGUGUUCACUGUUCUCCGGUGACCAAGUCGCCGCCGGCAGUGAUGUCGCCGAUUGCUCCUCCCCAUUCUGCCUCCGUCUCUGGUGAUUUUCUUUAUUUUUUAAGAAGCUUCAUUUUUUCUUGCUUUUUGGCUAUGGUGCCGAUUCAAUCUGAUUUGUGUGGUUGUGGGUUGAUUUUUGCGGCUGUGAUUUUUGUGGCUGUGAUUUUCUUUAUUUUUUAAGAAGCUUCAUUUUUUCUUAAUUUGUGUGGUUGUGGGUUGUGGGUUGAUUUGUGUGGUUGUGGGCUUGAAUGUUGUUCAUGUUCAAUCUGGGUAUUCAUGAUGUUAUUGAGACCUUUUUUGAUCUUGUUGAAUCUGCGUUUGAAUGAUAUUCUGUUUUUGAAUGA
Long non-coding RNA from Helianthus annuus (common sunflower), 820 nucleotides. RefSeq lists it as uncharacterized. The transcript has 2 exons. The record is from RefSeq and is a predicted model, not a curated record. NCBI's taxonomy places the organism in Eukaryota, Viridiplantae, Streptophyta, Magnoliopsida, Asterales, Asteraceae.